AAUGAAAGUGGCAAACGGGUGAGUAAUGUGUGGAUAAUCUACCUUAAAGAGGGGGAUAGUCUUGCGAAAGCGGGAAUAAUACCCCAUAAUAUCAUUUUUUGGGGACAAGAAAUGAUUAAAGAUUUAUCGCUUUAAGAUGAGUUCACAUCCUAUCAGCUAGUUGGUGAGGUAAUGGCUUACCAAGGCAGCGACGGGUAGCCGGCCUGAAAGGGUGAACGGCCACACUGGAACUGAUACACGGUCCAGACUCC
RNAcentral lists this ribosomal RNA (251 nucleotides) under uncultured bacterium. RNAcentral's name for it is "partial 16S ribosomal RNA". It matches the Rfam family "Bacterial small subunit ribosomal RNA", at positions 88 to 339 of the family's 1533-position model. The record is from RNAcentral.